AGUGAACGCUGGCGGUAGGCCUAACACAUGCGAGUCGAACGGCAGCACAGUAAGAGCUUGCUCUUACGGGUGGCGAGUGGCGGACGGGUGAGGAAUACAUCGGAAUCUACUUUUUCGUGGGGGAUAACGUAGGGAAACUUACGCUAAUACCGCAUACGACCUACGGGUGAAAGCAGGGGAUCUUCGGACCUUGCGCGAUUGAAUGAGCCGAUGUCGGAUUAGCUAGUUGGCGGGGUAAAGGCCCACCAAGGCGACGAUCCGUAGCUGGUCUGAGAGGAUGAUCAGCCACACUGGAACUGAGACACGGUCCAGACUCCUACGGGAGGCAGCAGUGGGGAAUAUUGGACAAUGGGCGCAAGCCUGAUCCAGCCAUACCGCGUGGGCGAAGAAGGCCUUCGGGUUGUAAAGCCCUUUUGUUGGGAAAGAAAAGCAGCAGGUUAAUACCCCGCUGUUCUGACGGUACCCAAAGAAUAAGCACCGGCUAACUUCGUG
Molecule: ribosomal RNA, 492 nt
Filed under: uncultured bacterium
Lineage: Bacteria
Description: partial 16S ribosomal RNA
Rfam family: Bacterial small subunit ribosomal RNA
Source: RNAcentral